CUACCCAGCAAAAAUCAACCAAAAAAAAAAUACAGUGAAGGAAUAAAAUUGCGCUAAUCACUUCGAUUAAGUGCCUACAUACAAAAACAAAAAACAAGGAGGGAAAUCUAGCAACUAGCGCACUUUAAAAACAGACCCAUUGCUGAAACUACUAGUGGAACCAGUGUUACUAAGUGGUAAGCUACCGGCAAUAUAAAAAACCAAGGGCCUAAAGUGUUCAUGGUCCUCCAUCGCCUUACUGAAUGGCACCUAUAAAGGAAAACAAACAGAAGAAAAAAAGUGUAUACAGUCCACAAACAACAACGACAAUAAAAGUAUAACGUUGCACAUUUCGUAGAUAUAUAUUUAUAUUAUUAUGUGAAAACUGAAAAAAGCAAGUUAUACCAUUUUAAAUGAACCGAGUGACGCUUACCUCAAGACAAAAAGUAAAAAUAAAAAAAUACAUAUAUACUUACAUAAACAUAUAUCAACAAUAACAGUGUACAAAGUCACAUAUGUAACCAAAUAAUUCGGGCGCGCCGAGUAAAAAACCCGAAAGAACAUAAACUUAAAUAAAAACCUAAUUUAUCCAUCGAAAACAACAUAAGUCAACAAUCAACUGAACACCCACUAUAGAAGGAAGCACUGAAUCGUAGGGAGACUCAGCGAGGGAAUCUAUCAACGUGGGAGAAAGGA
This is a long non-coding RNA of Rhagoletis zephyria (snowberry fruit fly), 675 nucleotides long. RefSeq lists it as uncharacterized. The record is from RefSeq and is a predicted model, not a curated record. NCBI's taxonomy places the organism in Eukaryota, Metazoa, Arthropoda, Insecta, Diptera, Tephritidae.